UCAGGCUUAUCUUUCACUCUGUCCUGCCUUCUUAUUUCACUUGUUUUAAACCUAGCGCUACUGUCUCUAGUUCUCCAACUCAUGAACCUUUACACUCAUUGCAUUCCUAAACUUCUUACUUUACUUCUAUGCAUUCCUAAACUUCUUACUUCACUUCUAUAAUUACUGAUCGGGGUCCUUUACUUCACCUGUUAGUAUGCCUUAUGGAACUUGAACCCAGUCUUGACUGCCUGUUAGCCCGCCCCCUGUCCCCCUACGAGAUUAGAAUGAAAUUACUCAAUAACAGACUGACCUUUGACCUUACGCGCCUCAACUAUAUUAUUUAGAUCCUAUUUGAUUUACUUGUUUUCAUCCUUUAGCAUUGUGGGCGACCUUCGAUUGAAUACCUAGCUGCUAGCUUUGAAACCCCUAUCUCAUUAUUACUAUCAUGAGACUAUUGGUCUGCCCUACUUAUGAGUUUUGUUCUGACUUCUGUUAGGGAUGUUAUUUGACUUAACGAUAACCAAUGGGGCAAUGCAACAGGGAUGUGACUUAACGAUAACUCAUAGGGAUGUUAUUUGUACGCCGCAACUGAUCUACAAUAAAUAGAAAAGCACUAUGGUUUUUUAUACAGUAUAGCUAAGCAAACUACUAGCAAAUCCUCUAUAAGAAAAACACAUGAAAACAUACAUCACAUGAGAAAUAUAAGAACACGGAAUCAUGACAUUAAUAUAAGUCAAGGGAAUACGGAAAGCAAGACUCAAAGACAGGGCCAAGCAACGGCGUGUAGUAAGAGGAAGAAUAAGUCAAACAACCACAUAUAUGUGAAUUAAUGUUUGCAUUAUGAGAAGUUAACUGAAUGAGAAUACUAAUCUGAAAAGAAAGAAUCAAAAGCAAAGAGAGGUGGACUAAAACAAUGGAAUAGGAAACAAACUCAGUAGAAGCAAUCAAACUAUGAUUUCUAAGGAGAAAGCCCCAGAGCACAAUUAGAACUUGAAUCUUGGCCAAGCAAUGGCUAACGACAUUGGUACGACAGAGUGAGAUAAAGCAACGGGGGUACUAAAAGAAGAAAAGAAUGUUAACUUCAAACUAAUGGAAAGAAUAGAACUGCAGCUGAUGAGACUGUAGCUAAUGAC
RNAcentral lists this long non-coding RNA (1115 nucleotides) under Musa acuminata (dwarf banana). RNAcentral describes it as "long non-coding RNA (MACU_LNC008779)". The record is from RNAcentral. Lineage: Eukaryota; Viridiplantae; Streptophyta; Magnoliopsida; Zingiberales; Musaceae.